RNAcentral lists this non-coding RNA (64 nucleotides) under Kineosphaera limosa. The record is from RNAcentral. Lineage: Bacteria; Bacillati; Actinomycetota; Actinomycetes; Micrococcales; Dermatophilaceae. RNAcentral also lists the same sequence under 1 other name.
CCAGAGCCCCGUCGGGCUCCCGGACGAGCGGCGCCGUACCCGGUCAGCGACAAGACGGCGACCU